This 183-nucleotide unclassified non-coding RNA is filed under the name uncultured fungus. RNAcentral describes it as "sequence contains ITS1". Lineage: Eukaryota; Fungi. The record is from RNAcentral.
UCGUAACGGGGUCGAGCAAUCGUCCCCGGGCGAACGAGCUGGCAGCGGCUGCCGCUGCCGCUCGUGAACCCAAUCCCUUGUCUAUGAGUACCCUACGUUUCCCUCGGCAGGUGCGCCUGCCGCAGGGACAAAAGUCAAACCCUUUUGCAACACUUUGUCUCAACCGUAUCAAAUCAAAUCUUA